UGGUUUCCCGAGUGGCCAAAGGGGACAGACUGUAAAUCUGCUGCAACUUGCUUCGAUGGUUCGAAUCCAUCACCAUCCA
RNAcentral lists this transfer RNA (79 nucleotides) under Lachnospiraceae bacterium KH1T2. RNAcentral's name for it is "tRNA_Tyr_GTA". It matches the Rfam family "tRNA". Rfam says of the family: Transfer RNA (tRNA) molecules are approximately 80 nucleotides in length. Their secondary structure includes four short double-helical elements and three loops (D, anti-codon, and T loops). Further hydrogen bonds mediate the characteristic L-shaped molecular structure. tRNAs have two regions of fundamental functional importance: the anti-codon, which is responsible for specific mRNA codon recognition, and the 3' end, to which the tRNAs corresponding amino acid is attached (by aminoacyl-tRNA synthetases). tRNAs cope with the degeneracy of the genetic code in two manners: having more than one tRNA (with a specific anti-codon) for a particular amino acid; and 'wobble' base-pairing, i.e. permitting non-standard base-pairing at the 3rd anti-codon position. Lineage: Bacteria; Bacillati; Bacillota; Clostridia; Lachnospirales; Lachnospiraceae. The record is from RNAcentral.